This 497-nucleotide ribosomal RNA is filed under the name uncultured bacterium. Its description in RNAcentral is "partial 16S ribosomal RNA". It matches the Rfam family "Bacterial small subunit ribosomal RNA", at positions 28 to 507 of the family's 1533-position model. The record is from RNAcentral.
GAUGAACGCUGGCGGCGUGCCUAAUACAUGCAAGUCGAGCGAACAGAUGAGGAGCUUGCUCCUCUGACGUUAGCGGCGGACGGGUGAGUAAAACGUGGAUAACCUACCUAUAAGACUGGGAUAACUUCGGGAAACCGGAGCUAAUACCGGAUAAUAUAUUGAACCGCAUGGUUCAAUAGUGAAAGACGGUUUUGCUGUCACUUAUAGAUGGAUCCGCGCCGCAUUAGCUAGUUGGUAAGGUAACGGCUUACCAAGGCAACGAUGCGUAGCCGACCUGAGAGGGUGAUCGGCCACACUGGAACUGAGACACGGUCCAGACUCCGACGGGAGGCAGCAGUAGGGAAUCUUCCGCAAUGGGCGAAAGCCUGACGGAGCAACGCCGCGUGAGUGAUGAAGGUCUUCGGAUCGUAAAACUCUGUUAUUAGUGAAGAACAAAUGUGUAAGUAACUAUGCACGUCUUGACGGUACCUAAUCAGAAAGCCACGGCUAACUACGUG